Long non-coding RNA from Cajanus cajan (pigeon pea), 317 nucleotides. RefSeq lists it as uncharacterized. The record is from RefSeq and is a predicted model, not a curated record. Lineage: Eukaryota; Viridiplantae; Streptophyta; Magnoliopsida; Fabales; Fabaceae.
UUAGAAUUCAUAAAGAAACUCUUCCCAGAAUGAUUUUUCGCUUCAACCAACCUUUUCUCUUUGGAAUUUUAGUUGUUACAUUGGUUCUCGCUUCAGUUGCAGGAGCAGCAAUGGCACAAAAGAAAUGUUUUGGGUUUUGGCUAUGCAAUAAUGACGAAAUGUGCAAGCAAGUUUGUUUUAAACAAGGUUUAACGGGUCGAAGCUUUUGUGAGAAGGGCAAUUGUUGUUGUAUUGGAUAGACUUAAAUUGUAUUUGUAAUUAUUUCAUAAAACUACAGUAAAAUAAUAUAUAUGAUAACUAUAUUUAAUAUUUAAUUA